AGAGUUUGAUCAUGGCUCAGAACGAACGUUGGCGGCGUGGAUUAGGCAUGCAAGUCGAACGAAUCCUGGCCUUGUAGCAAUACCGGGCUGGGGGAAGUGGCGAAAGGGGCAGUAAGGCAUGGGUAACCUACCCUGGGGACCGGGAUAGCCCUUCUAACGAGGGGGUAAUACCGGGCAAUGUGUCGCGGGCGCCUGCUCGUGACACCAGAUGGUCCGCCGCCCUGGGCGGGGCUCAUGUAGUAUUAGCUUGUUGGCGGGGUAACGGCCCACCAAGGCCAAGAUGCUUAGCGGGUGUGAGAGCACGACCCGCGCCACUGGCACUGAGACACUGGCCAGACACCUACGGGUGGCUGCAGUCGAGGAUCUUCGGCAAUGAGCGCAAGCUUGACCGAGCGACGCCGCGUGCGCGAUGAAGGCCUUCGGGUUGUAAAGCGCUGUCGUGGGGGAGAAAGAUCCGCAAGGGUCUGAUCUAUCCCAGGAGGAAGCACGGGCUAAGUUCGUGCCAGCAGCCGCGGUAAGACGAACCGUGCAAACGUUGUUCGGAAUCACUGGGCUUAAAGGGCGCGUAGGCGGGUGACCAAGUCGGGGGUGAAAUCUUUCAGCUCAACUGGAAAAGUGCCUCCGAUACUGGUCGUCUGGAGGGAGGUAGGGGUAUGCGGAACUGCUGGUGGAGCGGUGAAAUGCGUUGAUAUCAGCAGGAACGCCGGUGGCGAAAGCGGCGUACUGGACCUCUUCUGACGCUGAGGCGCGAAAGCUAGGGGAGCAAACGGGAUUAGAUACCCCAGUAGUCC
RNAcentral lists this ribosomal RNA (791 nucleotides) under uncultured bacterium. Its description in RNAcentral is "bacterial SSU rRNA". It matches the Rfam family "Bacterial small subunit ribosomal RNA", at positions 8 to 796 of the family's 1533-position model. The record is from RNAcentral.